UAGGGAAUCUUCGGCAAUGGACGAAAGUCUGACCGAGCAAUGCCGCGUGAGUGAAGAAGGUUUUCGGAUCGUAAAACUCUGUUGUUAGAGAAGAACAAGGACGUUAGUAACUGAACGUCCCCUGACGGUAUCUAACCAGAAAGCCACGGCUAACUACGUGCCAGCAGCCGCGGUAAUACGUAGGUGGCAAGCGUUGUCCGGAUUUAUUGGGCGUAAAGCGAGCGCAGGCGGUUUCUUAAGUCUGAUGUGAAAGCCCCCGGCUCAACCGGGGAGGGUCAUUGGAAACUGGGAGACUUGAGUGCAGAAGAGGAGAGUGGAAUUCCAUGUGUAGCGGUGAAAUGCGUAGAUAUAUGGAGGAACACCAGUGGCGAAGGCGGCUCUCUGGUCUGUAACUGACGCUGAGGCUCGAAAGCGUGGGGAGCAAACAGG
RNAcentral lists this ribosomal RNA (429 nucleotides) under Gemmatimonadota bacterium. RNAcentral describes it as "Gemmatimonadetes bacterium partial 16S ribosomal RNA". It matches the Rfam family "Bacterial small subunit ribosomal RNA", at positions 355 to 776 of the family's 1533-position model. Lineage: Bacteria; Pseudomonadati; Gemmatimonadota. The record is from RNAcentral.